RNAcentral lists this transfer RNA (92 nucleotides) under Arenivirga flava. RNAcentral's name for it is "tRNA-Arg". Lineage: Bacteria; Bacillati; Actinomycetota; Actinomycetes; Micrococcales; Microbacteriaceae. The record is from RNAcentral.
GGCGGCUGCUCGUGAACGGCGACGGUCGCCUGUGGCUCCUGCCCGCGGACGGCUCGGCCGAGCCGGAGGCGAUCCCGUCGCCGGGGCUGCCG